Molecule: ribosomal RNA, 404 nt
Filed under: Actinomycetes bacterium
Lineage: Bacteria; Bacillati; Actinomycetota; Actinomycetes
Description: Actinobacteria bacterium partial 16S ribosomal RNA
Rfam family: Bacterial small subunit ribosomal RNA
Source: RNAcentral
UGGGGAAUAUUGGACAAUGGGCGCAAGCCUGAUCCAGCCAUGCCGCGUGAGUGAUGAAGGCCCUAGGGUUGUAAAGCUCUUUCACCGGUGAAGAUAAUGACGGUAACCGGAGAAGAAGCCCCGGCUAACUUCGUGCCAGCAGCCGCGGUAAUACGAAGGGGGCUAGCGUUGUUCGGAUUUACUGGGCGUAAAGCGCACGUAGGCGGACUUUUAAGUCAGGGGUGAAAUCCCGGGGCUCAACCCCGGAACUGCCUUUGAUACUGGAAGUCUUGAGUAUGGUAGAGGUGAGUUGAAUUCCGAGUGUAGAGGUGAAAUUCGUAAAUAUUCGGAGGAACACCAGUGGCGAAGGCGGCUCACUGGACCAUUACUGACGCUGAGGUGCGAAAGCGUGGGGAGCAAACAGG